CACGUGGAUAACCUACCUAUAAGACUGGGAUAACUUCGGGAAACCGGAGCUAAUACCGGAUAAUAUUUUGAACCGCAUGGUUCAAAAGUGAAAGACGGUCUUGCUGUCACUUAUAGAUGGAUCCGCGCUGCAUUAGCUAGUUGGUAAGGUAACGGCUUACCAAGGCAACGAUGCAUAGCCGACCUGAGAGGGUGAUCGGCCACACUGGAACUGAGACACGGUCCAGACUCCUACGGGAGGCAGCAGUAGGGAAUCUUCCGCAAUGGGCGAAAGCCUGACGGAGCAACGCCGCGUGAGUGAUGAAGGUCUUCGGAUCGUAAAACUCUGUUAUUAGGGAAGAACAUAUGUGUAAGUAACUGUGCACAUCUUGACGGUACCUAAUCAGAAAGCCACGGCUAACUACGUGCCAGCAGCCGCGGUAAUACGUAGGUGGCAAGCGUUAUCCGGAAUUAUUGGGCGUAAAGCGCGCGUAGGCGGUUUUUUAAGUCUGAUGUGAAAGCCCACGGCUCAACCGUGGAGGGUCAUUGGAAACUGGAAAACUUGAGUGCAGAAGAGGAAAGUGGAAUUCCAUGUGUAGCGGUGAAAUGCGCAGAGAUAUGGAGGAACACCAGUGGCGAAGGCGACUUUCUGGUCUGUAACUGACGCUGAUGUGCGAAAGCGUGGGGAUCAAACAGGAUUAGAUACCCUGGUAGUCCACGCCGUAAACGAUGAGUGCUAAGUGUUAGGGGGUUUCCGCCCCUUAGUGCUGCAGCUAACGCAUUAAGCACUCCGCCUGGGGAGUACGACCGCAAGGUUGAAACUCAAAGGAAUUGACGGGGACCCGCACAAGCGGUGGAGCAUGUGGUUUAAUUCGAAGCAACGCGAAGAACCUUACCAAAUCUUGACAUCCUU
This 891-nucleotide ribosomal RNA is filed under the name Staphylococcus aureus. Its description in RNAcentral is "bacterial SSU rRNA". It matches the Rfam family "Bacterial small subunit ribosomal RNA", at positions 114 to 991 of the family's 1533-position model. The record is from RNAcentral. Lineage: Bacteria; Bacillati; Bacillota; Bacilli; Caryophanales; Staphylococcaceae.